GCAUAAUACCCGUUCGCCGGUGCCUUUCGGGGCCUAAGAGGGAACACGCAUCAUGGCGAUGACCGUGACUACCCCCGCAACUGUAUGCAGCGAGGCUAGCGCUUUUCAUGGACCACAGCAGGCGUUAUAGCGCUAGCUCUGGUCGACAGCUCAUAAAACCUGCCGGCUAAUAGUUCGUGCC
RNAcentral lists this non-coding RNA (181 nucleotides) under Paraburkholderia phymatum. Lineage: Bacteria; Pseudomonadati; Pseudomonadota; Betaproteobacteria; Burkholderiales; Burkholderiaceae. The record is from RNAcentral. RNAcentral also lists the same sequence under 1 other name.